GAUGAACGCUGGCGGCGUGCCUAAUACAUGCAAGUAGAACGCUGAAGCUUGGUGCUUGCACCGAGCGGAUGAGUUGCGAACGGGUGAGUAACGCGUAGGUAACCUGCCUCUUAGCGGGGGAUAACUAUUGGAAACGAUAGCUAAUACCGCAUAAAAGUUGACAUUGCAUGAUGUUGAUUUGAAAGAUGCAAUUGCAUCACUAAGAGAUGGACCUGCGUUGUAUUAGCUAGUUGGUGAAGUAACGGCUCACCAAGGCGACGAUACAUAGCCGACCUGAGAGGGUGAUCGGCCACACUGGGACUGAGACACGGCCCAGACUCCUACGGGAGGCAGCAGUAGGGAAUCUUCGGCAAUGGGGGCAACCCUGACCGAGCAACGCCGCGUGAGUGAAGAAGGUUUUCGGAUCGUAAAGCUCUGUUGUAAGAGAAGAACGAGUGUGAGAGGGAAAGUUCAC
RNAcentral lists this ribosomal RNA (454 nucleotides) under Streptococcus parasanguinis. Its description in RNAcentral is "bacterial SSU rRNA". It matches the Rfam family "Bacterial small subunit ribosomal RNA", at positions 28 to 467 of the family's 1533-position model. The record is from RNAcentral. Lineage: Bacteria; Bacillati; Bacillota; Bacilli; Lactobacillales; Streptococcaceae.